Molecule: ribosomal RNA, 430 nt
Filed under: uncultured delta proteobacterium
Lineage: Bacteria; Deltaproteobacteria
Also listed under: 1 other name
Description: bacterial SSU rRNA
Rfam family: Bacterial small subunit ribosomal RNA
Source: RNAcentral
AACGCGAAGAACCUUACCUGGGCUUGAACUACUCGUGGUAGUUCGCUGGAAACAGUGGACGACCCGCAAGGGAGCGAGCAGAGGUGCUGCAUGGUUGUCGUCAGCUCGUGUCGUGAGAUGUUGGGUUAAGUCCCGCAACGAGCGCAACCCCUAUCUCAUGUUGCUAUUCCCGCAAGGGAAGCACUCUUGAGAAACUGCCUUCGAUAAGAAGGAGGAAGGUGGGGACGACGUCAAAUCCUCAUGGCCCUUAUGUCCAGGGCUACACACGUGUUACAAUGGCCGGUACAAUGGGAAGCAAUACCGCAAGGUGGAGCCAAACCCCAAAGCCGGCCCCAGUUCAGAUUGUGGGCUGCAACUCGCCCACAUGAAGGCGGAAUCGCUAGUAAUCGCUGAUCAGCAGGCAGCGGUGAAUACGUUCCCGGGCCUUGUA